RNAcentral lists this ribosomal RNA (216 nucleotides) under Glomeromycotina sp. RNAcentral's name for it is "partial small subunit ribosomal RNA". The stretch from base 40 to 216 matches the Rfam family "Eukaryotic small subunit ribosomal RNA", at positions 686 to 864 of the family's 1831-position model. The record is from RNAcentral. Lineage: Eukaryota; Fungi; Glomeromycota.
GGGUCAGUAGGUUGGUCGUGCCACCGGUACGUACUGGUCUCACUGAUUCCUCCUUCCUGAAGAACCGUAAUGCCAUUAAUUUGGUGUUGCGGGGAAACAGGACUGUUAUUUUGAAAAAAUUAGAGUGUUUAAAGCAAGCUAACGCUUGAAUACAUUAGCAUGGAAUAAUGAAAGAGGACGAUCGAUCCUAUUUUGUUGGUUUCUAGGAUUGACGUA